CAAGGCGCCCUUGAUCUUAAUAAUCCAGCUUCUUGAAAUCAUCAAGUGGAGGUCUUGAUGAAUUUGACCCAUGUGGUUCAAUUUCAGUUGCUCCAACUACUGCUCCUGCUUCAGCAAUUGUGUCCCUGCUACUGUUGUUCCUUCUGCUUCGAUCAAUGUUGAAAUAAACUUGUUGAAUGUUCUGUUUGAUGCGUUUGCUAUACACUUGAAAACCAUGCUACUGAUUCUGAUGCCCGUGCCAACUCUUGUGCUAUGACCAACUUUGCUACUAAUCAGCCAUCAUCUAAUUUUGGAAAUCAGUGUUUUGAUGAUUCCUCUGGUGAUGACCCUUUUAAACUUGUCCCUUCAUCUGAUGUUAUCUCAGCUGCGUAACAAUUCUACUUGCAUGCCUACUUUUCGGGUUGCAACAAAUCAAAAUGCGGUAGUUCCUCAGCCCAUUUCUACAAUGCGCAACCGUUAACCUUACUCCUACUUAUAAGGUAACCUGUUAAAAAUAACAAGGCCUAUAACAUUACUCUUACUUAUAAGAUAAUUGGUAAAAAACAAAACAUGGCGCAACCAUAAAUGUUACUCAUACUUAUAAGGUAAUUGGUUAAAAAUAA
This is a long non-coding RNA of Hibiscus syriacus, 602 nucleotides long. RefSeq lists it as uncharacterized. The record is from RefSeq and is a predicted model, not a curated record. NCBI's taxonomy places the organism in Eukaryota, Viridiplantae, Streptophyta, Magnoliopsida, Malvales, Malvaceae. The transcript has 3 exons.